Long non-coding RNA from Vicia villosa (hairy vetch), 2083 nucleotides. RefSeq lists it as uncharacterized. The transcript has 3 exons. NCBI's taxonomy places the organism in Eukaryota, Viridiplantae, Streptophyta, Magnoliopsida, Fabales, Fabaceae. The record is from RefSeq and is a predicted model, not a curated record.
UCAAAAAAGGUUGGGUCACUGGAUAUUUCAAACGUCUAUUAAUAUUUGAUCUUUCCAAUAUUUGUUGUGCUUACCCUUUUCCUACCACAUUAAAUCUCAACCCUAACUCCAUCUCUUUUGUUUCUAGCACCGGUUCUUCAAGAAGUUAAUUUCCUUCUCUUUUUUAAGACCUGGUUCAUGGCAUCUUCAAGUUUGUUUUGGUCUUCAGUUGUGAGGCGGAAGUCUGGGCGAUGGUGGUUGUUGUGCGAGAUUGAGUGGUGCUUCGCGAACAGCAGACAGAGGGAGUUCCUUCGAAUCUGUAGGUGGCACGACGACGCGGUUUCGUGGCGAGGAGCGGUGGAGCACGAUUAUGGGAGUCGCAUUUAUGGUGGCAGCUUCUUUCAUUAUCGUCGGAAACCUUAGAUUCAGUCCUCUAUUUCUUUUUCUCUAUUUUAGAUUUUCCGUCUUUUCUCCCCCUUGCAAUGAACUUCGUGGUCCUUUAGAUUUAGGAAGCUUCAUAUUUGAUUUUUGACAAUUUUAAUCCUUAUUUUGUCUUGAGGUUCAAGUCUAGUAACUUAUGUAAAGAUAUAAUUAUCGAUUUGGGUAGAUUAAUGAAAAAUAUCUGUUUUUGUGAUGCAGAUUUGGAUGAGGAGGAUUCAGAAGAUUUUGAGUGAAGAUACAAUUGAAUUGUGAAGAUUUGGACCUCUUUUACUGGGUUCGAAUACUGAAAGUUAAUUUCAACGGAGUUGAUGCAUGUGAAUAAUUGGCCUACGAGAAAGCGGCCGAAAAAAAGGAAUUUACAGAAACCUCACCAUAGUGCUUUGGGAUUGCAGCGUAGUCUGUUGUAUUGUUGAAGGAUAGAAUAAUAUGACACGAGCUUUAAGAAUUUGAGUUGAAGAAUUCAAGAUUAAACCAAGAGCUAAAUUGGAGACCCUGAAGAUGUGAUAGCACAUAUAUAUGUAAAAUGAAUGAAUUUUUGUUGUAUAAAAACAAUAUUUUAGCAUAAACAUCAUUUCAUAUAUAAUUUAUUCCAAGUAGUAUAAUUCCUUGUGUUUACCAUAGAUAGCAUCUAAAUAGUAUAAGUUAAAUGAUUAUAUACUUAAUGUUAUCAAAUAAUUGUAGUAUUACUAACACUUGCUUAUAUUAAAUUCAAUUAUUGAAAAUUUCUUCUCUAAAUGGAAUGGAGCAAUAUUACUAUUACUACUAAAUCACAAGUUCAAUAACAGGUAGGAGAAAACAAAUCCAAUAAUUGUUACGUUUGAAAUAAGAUUGAUUUUAGAACAUGAUUGUGUUAAUUUUGUUAUAUGAUGUUAAUUGUUAGAAUUAGACUUGAUUGUUAGUAAAAUCAGUUGGACUGCAAUGAAGUAGUAAAUGGUGGUCACGUCUAAAAUAGUUAAAAGUCGUAUAGAUGAUGAAUUUCCUAAUGAUAUUGAGACUCAACAUUUUAGGCAGUUGAACCAGUAAACCAUCAGAUAUAUCAAAGUUCUGGUUUUCCAAAAGGGAAUGAUUUUGUGUGGUUUUUGGUUGAGAUUUGAUUUUGUUUGGUUUAAAUGGGAUUGUGAUUUUGUGUGGUUUUUGGUUGAGAUUUGAUUUUGUUUGGUUUAACUGGGAUUGUGAUUUUGUGUGAUUUUUGGUUGAGAUUUGAUUUUGUUUUUAAUUUGAUUUUGAAAUGAUGAAGAUUUGAAUAGAAUUUGAUUUGAUUCAUCAUCUUGGUGUCUUUUUCUUAUGGUUAAUAGAUAGAGACAGUAGUAAAUAAUAACAAACAAUAAUACUAUUAAUAAUUCUAAUACUUGAUAAUAUAAUACUUAUAGACAAAAAAGACUGAAAUAAAAAAUAGGAAAUGGUUAGAAUUUAAAAAAAAAACUGAACUAAACUUAAUUUCAAGUACAAAAUAAUUUGACUACAGUUAUUUGAAAUUUUAGUAUAUACAUGUUUCUAAGUACUAUUGCAAAGUUUAUUUAAUUUUUUUUGUGUUUCAUAUUUUUUUUAGUACUUAAAAGGACUAUUCAAUUACUAUUAUUUAUCUUUUAUAAUUUAUUAAAAUAUUUUUUCUUAUAUUUCUACAAAUUGUUUUAAAAAAAUUUGGAAAUUAUUACUACUAAUA